Molecule: ribosomal RNA, 496 nt
Filed under: uncultured bacterium
Lineage: Bacteria
Description: partial 16S ribosomal RNA
Rfam family: Bacterial small subunit ribosomal RNA
Source: RNAcentral
AUGAACGCUGGCGGCGUGCCUAAUACAUGCAAGUCGAGCGAACAGACGAGGAGCUUGCCCCUCUGACGUUAGCGGCGGACGGGUGAGUAACACGUGGAUAACCUACCUAUAAGACUGGGAUAACUUCGGGAAACCGGAGCUAAUACCGGAUAAUAUAUUGAACCGCAUGGUUCAAUAGUGAAAGACGGUUUUGCUGUCACUUAUAGAUGGAUCCGCGCCGCAUUAGCUAGUUGGUAAGGUAACGGCUUACCAAGGCAACGAUGCGUAGCCGACCUGAGAGGGUGAUCGGCCACACUGGAACUGAGACACGGUCCAGACUCCUACGGGAGGCAGCAGUAGGGAAUCUUCCGCAAUGGGCGAAAGCCUGACGGAGCAACGCCGCGUGAGUGAUGAAGGUCUUCGGAUCGUAAAACUCUGUUAUUAGGGAAGAACAAAUGUGUAAGUAACUAUGCACGUCUUGACGGUACCUAAUCAGAAAGCCACGGCUAACUACGUG